RNAcentral lists this ribosomal RNA (492 nucleotides) under uncultured bacterium. RNAcentral's name for it is "partial 16S ribosomal RNA". It matches the Rfam family "Bacterial small subunit ribosomal RNA", at positions 29 to 507 of the family's 1533-position model. The record is from RNAcentral.
AGUGAACGCUGGCGGCAGGCCUAACACAUGCAGGUCGAACGGCAGCACAGUAAGAGCUUGCUCUGACGGGUGGCGAGUGGCGGACGGGUGAGGAAUACAUCGGAAUCUACUUUUUCGUGGGGGAUAACGUAGGGAAACUUACGCUAAUACCGCAUACGACCUACGGGGGAAAGCAGGGGAUCUUCGCGCCUGUCGCGGUUGAAUGAGCCGCUGUCGGUUUGGCUGGUGGGCGGGGUAAAGGCCCACCAAGGCGAGGAUCCGCUGCUGGACUGUGAGGAUGGUCGGCGACACGGGAGCUGGGACACGCUCAAUGCUCCUACGGGAGGCAGCAGUGUGGAAUAUGGGACAAUGGGCGCAAGCAUGAUCCAGCCAUACCGAGUGGGUGAAGGAGGCGUUCGGGUUGUAAAGACCUUUUGUUGGGAAAGAAAAGCAGCAGGUUAAUACCCCGCUGUUCUGACGGUACCCAAAGAAUAAGCACCGGCUAACUUCGUG